This 497-nucleotide ribosomal RNA is filed under the name uncultured bacterium. RNAcentral's name for it is "partial 16S ribosomal RNA". It matches the Rfam family "Bacterial small subunit ribosomal RNA", at positions 28 to 507 of the family's 1533-position model. The record is from RNAcentral.
GAUGAACGCUGGCGGCGUGCCUAAUACAUGCAAGUCGAGCGAACAGAUGAGGAGCUUGCUCCUCUGACGUUAGCGGCGGACGGGUGAGUAACACGUGGAUGACCUACCUAUAAGACUGGGAUAACUUCGGGAAACCGGAGCUAAUACCGGAUAAUAUAUUGAACCGCAUGGUUCAAUAGUGAAAGACGGUUUUGCUGUCACUUAUAGAUGGAUCCGCGCCGCAUUAGCUAGUUGGUAAGGUAACGGCUUACCAAGGCAACGAUGCGUAGCCGACCUGAGAGGGUGAUCGGCCACACUGGAACUGAGACACGGUCCAGACUCCUACGGGAGGCAGCAGUAGGGAAUCUUCCGCAAUGGGCGAAAGCCUGACGGAGCAACGCCGCGUGAGUGAUGAAGGUCUUCGGAUCGUAAAACUCUGUUAUUAGGGAAGAACAAAUGUGUAAGUAACUAUGCACGUCUUGACGGUACCUAAUCAGAAAGCCACGGCUAACUACGUG